RNAcentral lists this non-coding RNA (91 nucleotides) under Butyrivibrio hungatei. RNAcentral describes it as "SAM riboswitch (S box leader)". It matches the Rfam family "SAM riboswitch aptamer (S box leader)", at positions 2 to 89 of the family's 108-position model. From Rfam's summary of the family: The SAM riboswitch is found upstream of a number of genes which code for proteins involved in methionine or cysteine biosynthesis in Gram-positive bacteria. The SAM riboswitch acts at the level of transcription termination control. The predicted structure consists of a complex stem-loop region followed by a single stem loop terminator region. The record is from RNAcentral. Lineage: Bacteria; Bacillati; Bacillota; Clostridia; Lachnospirales; Lachnospiraceae.
UCUUAUUCAGAGUGGUGGAGGUACAUAGGACCUGUGAAGCCACGGCAACCCCUUGAUUUAUUCAGGAAGGUGCCAACCUGAGCGUGCAUUU